AUAAACGCUGGCGGCGUGCAUUAUGCAUGCAAGUCGAACGGUGCCGCAAGGCACAGUGGCAAACGGGUGAGUAACACGUAAGUAACCUGCCUCUGAGUGGGGAAUAACUUCGGGAAACUGAGGCUAAUACCGCAUAUGGCGCGCCCUCGAUGGAGGGUUCACCAAAGCCGCAAGGCGCUCGGAGAGGGGCUUGCGUCCGAUUAGCUAGUUGGUGGGGUAACGGCCUACCAAGGCUGUGAUCGGUAGCUG
RNAcentral lists this ribosomal RNA (249 nucleotides) under uncultured bacterium. RNAcentral's name for it is "partial 16S ribosomal RNA". It matches the Rfam family "Bacterial small subunit ribosomal RNA", at positions 29 to 289 of the family's 1533-position model. The record is from RNAcentral.